UGCCAUAGAAACCCAUCAUUGACGCGGGCCCGCCGCUCCCGGCCGUGGAUUUGUAUAUACGGUUACUUAGCAACUGUAAAUUGCUAUGGUGAGGAAGGGGAAGUCUCAGGCGCGCUGCAGGGAUGUCCCUAAGAGAAUACAAAACAGUGCCUACGUCCCAGGCAGAACUGACGUUACUGGCAUCGAGACUGAAGCUUGGACCAAUGAAACUUCUGGGUUUGUAGACAGGUGAUGUUGGAGAAGUGUGGAUCCAAUAGGCCUGAGAGAUUCUUCCAGAGAUCUUCCUCUAGUUCCCCUGAAAUUGAUCUACUUAAAAAUGGAUGUACAUAAUGGACUUAAAGGGAAAUGUCAUCUCCAAAAUGGCCGCCGCCAGCUUUAAGGACAUUUCUCGAUGAGAAUGAACCUAUUCAUGAAUGUUCUAAAUGGAUGCCUGUCAACUAAUAUACAGGAAACGGAAGUACAGUAUGGGAGAUAUUAUCAUCUAAUUUUGAGUAUCCUGAAUUCGAAUAGAAAAUGAGGAGUGUAAAGGAGCACGGACCUCCGACUUCCGGAUCAGAAGUGACGCGGAAUCGGAAAUGACGUAACACCGGAAAUGACGCCAAACCGGAAGUGACGUGGCCAAAAGUGACACGGUCCCGCGGUAAACGGUGGGAAAGGCGGCAUUAGGAGAUUUCAAUAGGAACAGAAGUGGAUUAAAUGGACUGGAAUAUAUGUGGAAAAAGGAUAGGUUUAGAAUUGGAUAGUGAUUCCAUGUCUGGAAUUAGGACCUACAGUACUGUGAAUUAGAUAGACUGGGUAUAAAAAGCAGUCUAAGGCACUUCCUCCCCAUGCCUUGAGGAAGAUACUUUGAUAUCGAAACGCAUUGGUUGAGGACUGUUUUAUGAAGCUCUCUCGUGGUCAGACGGUAUAGUGCAUAUCCUGGGGACGCCUGUGAUACUGUUAAAAACCUAUGUGCAUUUGUCUACUUCUUUUGUUGGGUAGACCACAUGACCGGGUGAGAGUUCAUUUUAAAUACUGUUUUGCUUUCUGAAAUCUAUUAAAAAGAUUGUAUUACACCA
This is a long non-coding RNA of Pseudophryne corroboree (corroboree frog), 1058 nucleotides long. RefSeq lists it as uncharacterized. The record is from RefSeq and is a predicted model, not a curated record. Lineage: Eukaryota; Metazoa; Chordata; Amphibia; Anura; Myobatrachidae. The transcript has 3 exons.